ACGCGGCCGUAAAGUAACCGGAGGAAGGUGGGGAUGACGUCAAAUCAUCAUGCCCCUUAUGACCUGGGCUACACACGUGCUACAAUGGUUGGUACAACGAGUUGCGAGUCGGUGACGGCGAGCUAAUCUCUUAAAGCCAAUCUCAGUUCGGAUUGUAGGCUGCAACUCGCCUACAUGAAGUCGGAAUCGCUAGUAAUCGCGGAUCAGCACGCCGCGGUGAAUACGUUCCCGGGCCUU
RNAcentral lists this ribosomal RNA (237 nucleotides) under uncultured Streptococcus sp. RNAcentral's name for it is "partial 16S ribosomal RNA". It matches the Rfam family "Bacterial small subunit ribosomal RNA", at positions 1146 to 1382 of the family's 1533-position model. The record is from RNAcentral. Lineage: Bacteria; Bacillati; Bacillota; Bacilli; Lactobacillales; Streptococcaceae.